CCGACAGUUGUGCUGAGUGCAACCUGAAGUGCUUUGGCAGCUAGUUGUUGCGUGACACUCGUUUGGAUCAGAGGAACCAAAGUGUGGAAGUCUCUCCUGGCCCGAGCGUCCCGCACUGCCCUGCUGGUUUAACUGUUCUCUCACAAAGAGUAAGGAGGCUGUAGUUGCAACACGUCCGUUUAUCUGUGCAUCUGACAGAAUCGGCCCUCACCCUCCUGCUGUGAGAGGAUCCGGUUCCUCCACCAGCACAUCCUGGAUCAGAGGAGGGGGGUGGGCAGAGCCCUGAGGAGGUCUGCAGCCAGGAGCAGAACCAGAGGAGGAGGAGGAGGAGGAGGAGGGCGUUGUCAUGCUCUGCUGAUAUGGUA
This is a long non-coding RNA of Archocentrus centrarchus (flier cichlid), 365 nucleotides long. RefSeq lists it as uncharacterized. The record is from RefSeq and is a predicted model, not a curated record. Lineage: Eukaryota; Metazoa; Chordata; Actinopteri; Cichliformes; Cichlidae. The transcript is spliced from 3 exons.